RNAcentral lists this ribosomal RNA (429 nucleotides) under Bacteroidota bacterium. RNAcentral describes it as "Bacteroidetes bacterium partial 16S ribosomal RNA". It matches the Rfam family "Bacterial small subunit ribosomal RNA", at positions 355 to 776 of the family's 1533-position model. The record is from RNAcentral. Lineage: Bacteria; Pseudomonadati; Bacteroidota.
UAGGGAAUCUUCGGCAAUGGGGGGAACCCUGACCGAGCAACGCCGCGUGAGUGAAGAAGGUUUUCGGAUCGUAAAGCUCUGUUGUUAAGGAAGAACGAGUGUGAGAAUGGAAAGUUCAUGCUGUGACGGUACUUAACCAGAAAGGGACGGCUAACUACGUGCCAGCAGCCGCGGUAAUACGUAGGUCCCGAGCGUUGUCCGGAUUUAUUGGGCGUAAAGCGAGCGCAGGCGGUUAGAAAAGUCUGAAGUGAAAGGCAGUGGCUCAACCAUUGUAGGCUUUGGAAACUGUUUAACUUGAGUGCAGAAGGGGAGAGUGGAAUUCCAUGUGUAGCGGUGAAAUGCGUAGAUAUAUGGAGGAACACCGGUGGCGAAAGCGGCUCUCUGGUCUGUAACUGUCGCUGAGGCUCGAAAGCGUGGGGAGCGAACAGG